UCAGGAUGAACGCUAGCGGCGCGCUUAAUGCAUGCAAGUCGAGCGAUGAGGCCCUCUUCGGAGGGUCAUCAGCGGCAGACGGGUGAGUAACACGUAGGUGACCUGCCCUAAAGAUGGGGAUAACGGAUGGAAACAUGCGCUAAUACCCAAUGGUCCUGUAGAGUCAAAUCUAUAGGUAAAGCUUCGGCACUUUAGGAGGGGCCUGCGGCCCAUCAGCUAGUUGGUAGGGUAACGGCCUACCAAGGCAAAGACGGGUAGGGGGUGUGAGAGCAUGACCCCCCACAAUGGGACUGAGACACGGCCCAUACUCCUACGGGAGGCAGCAGCAGGGAAUAUUGCACAAUGGACGGAAGUCUGAUGCAGCGACGCCGCGUGGAUGAUGAAGGCCCUCGGGUCGUAAAAUCCUUUUCAGGGGGAAGAGGAAGGACGGUACCCUUGGAAUAAGCGUCGGCUAACUACGUGCCAGCAGCCGCGGUAAGACGUAGGACGCAAGCGUUAUCCGGAUUUACUGGGCGUAAAGCGUCUGUAGGCGGAUCGAUAAGUUGGGCGUGAAAGCUCCGUGCUUAACGCGGAGAGGUCGUUCAAGACUGUCGAACUAGAGGGCAUCAGAGGAGCAUGGAAUUUCCGGUGUAGCGGUAAAAUGCGCAGAUAUCGGAAGGAACACCAGUGGCGAAGGCGGUGCUCUGGGGUGUACCUGACGCUGAGAGACGAAAGCUAGGGGAGCGAACAGGAUUAGAGACCCUGGUAGUCCUA
This 753-nucleotide ribosomal RNA is filed under the name uncultured organism. RNAcentral's name for it is "bacterial SSU rRNA". It matches the Rfam family "Bacterial small subunit ribosomal RNA", at positions 24 to 798 of the family's 1533-position model. The record is from RNAcentral.